Long non-coding RNA from Carassius auratus (goldfish), 581 nucleotides. RefSeq lists it as uncharacterized. NCBI's taxonomy places the organism in Eukaryota, Metazoa, Chordata, Actinopteri, Cypriniformes, Cyprinidae. The record is from RefSeq and is a predicted model, not a curated record. The transcript is spliced from 5 exons.
UAUUUUAAAAAGCAGUGCUUACCUGUUUAUUUACGUUCGGUGAAAUGACCUAGAUAAAAUUUAACGUUAUUUUACCGUAUUUAUUGCUCGAAGGAAAGAAAACAGUACUUAACAGUAUUUUGGGAACAGAAAGCUGCAGCGAGCACAUGUGGAUUUUCAUCCGUCUUUAUAUUGUGAUUUAACCGUGCUAAAAUCGUCAACGUUCCAACGGCAUCAUAGAUUGGAGCUGGAUAGAUUCAGAUAUCCCCCGAUUACAAGGCAUCUUCCACUGCAGCUGAUGUAGAAAGGACACUUGAACUACCUUCAACUCCUCGACUGAUACUCUUUGGUGAAAAACCAGGAAGCUGCAUUCAUAAAUGGAUGAUUAGUUUUGAGGGGCAAAUAAUCUGUGAGGGCAUCCAGCCAAGUUUUCUGUCUGGACUUUCUGCUGUGUUUUCAACUUUCUACAAUUUCAAUGUGGAGUACCAAGCUGAGGCUGCAUCCACGUUGGAAUUUAUUCAGCGGUGCUUCAUUGGAAUAAAUCCUGAAAAAGGCACCAAGUGUGGACAAGUCAUAUCAAAGCGGACAGGGAAGGUUGGCCA